RNAcentral lists this ribosomal RNA (492 nucleotides) under uncultured bacterium. RNAcentral's name for it is "partial 16S ribosomal RNA". It matches the Rfam family "Bacterial small subunit ribosomal RNA", at positions 29 to 507 of the family's 1533-position model. The record is from RNAcentral.
AUUGAACGCUGGCGGCAUGCUUUACACAUGCAAGUCGAACGGUAACAGGCCUUCGGGUGCUGACGAGUGGCGAACGGGUGAGUAAUGCAUCGGAACGUACCCAGAGGUGGGGGAUAACGCAGCGAAAGCUGUGCUAAUACCGCAUGUGAUCUGAGGAUGAAAGCGGGGGACCGAGCAGCAAUGUUUGGCCUCGCGCCUUUGGAGCGGCCGAUGUCGGAUUAGCUAGUUGGUGGGGUAAAGGCCUACCAAGGCGACGAUCCGUAGCUGGUCUGAGAGGACGACCAGCCACACUGGGACUGAGACACGGCCCAGACUCCUACGGGAGGGAGCAGUGGGGAAUGUUGGACAAUGGGCGCAAGCCUGAUCCAGCAAUGCCGCGUGCGGGAAGAAGGCCUUCGGGUUGUAAACCGCUUUUGGCAGGAACGAAACGGUGUCCGCUAAUACCGGGCGCUAAUGACGGUACCUGCAGAAUAAGCACCGGCUAACUACGUG